UUGAAUUAUCAAUUACGUAUGUGAACCAGCUGAACCACAUUCUUUGUGGGUAGGCGUAACCGCUGACGGACUUUGAGCCGUCAGUCUUUUUUACCAACCCUUUAUCAUUGACUUUGACUGAAAUCUUUAAAACUUAAAGA
This 140-nucleotide unclassified non-coding RNA is filed under the name soil metagenome. Its description in RNAcentral is "partial internal transcribed spacer 1". The record is from RNAcentral.